This 511-nucleotide ribosomal RNA is filed under the name uncultured soil bacterium. Its description in RNAcentral is "bacterial SSU rRNA". It matches the Rfam family "Bacterial small subunit ribosomal RNA", at positions 26 to 536 of the family's 1533-position model. The record is from RNAcentral.
AGGACGAACGCUGGCGGCGUGCCUAAUACAUGCAAGUCGAGCGGAACUGAAAGAGCUUGCUCUUUCAGUUUAGCGGCGGACGGGUGAGUAACACGUGGGCAACCUGCCCUGCAGAUCGGGAUAACUCCGGGAAACCGGUGCUAAUACCGAAUAGUUUGGAACCUCUCCUGAGGUUCCACGGAAAGACGGUUUCGGCUGUCACUGCAGGAUGGGCCCGCGGCGCAUUAGCUAGGUUGGUGGGGUAAUGGCCCACCAAGGCGACGAUGCGUAGCCGACCUGAGAGGGUGAUCGGCCACACUGGGACUGAGACACGGCCCAGACUCCAGGGAGCAGCAGUAGGAAUCUUCCGACAAUGGACGCAAGUCUGACGGAGCAACGCCGCGUGAGUGACGGUAAGGUUUCGAUACGUAAAACUCUGUUGUAGAGGGUAAGAACGAACGUAACCAAGUAACUACGUAGGUACCUUCGACGUACCUACGACCAAGAACGCCACGGACUAACGUACGUGACC